Molecule: long non-coding RNA, 600 nt
Filed under: Homo sapiens (human)
Lineage: Eukaryota; Metazoa; Chordata; Mammalia; Primates; Hominidae
Description: novel transcript
Source: RNAcentral
UGGGGAUGGACGACAGCACCCAGAAGAUCAUUGUGGACUUGGACAUUUACUGGCCCAAUAGACUGACCAUCGACCUGGGGGAGAAGAAGCUCUACUGGGCUGACACUAAGCUCGGCUUCAUCCACCGUGCCAACCUGGACGGCUCGUUCCGGCAGAAGGUGGUGAAGGGCAGCCUGACGCACCCCUUCACCCUGACACUCUCCGGGGACACUCUGCACUGGAUGGACUGGCUGACGUGCUCCAUCCAUGCCUGCAACAGGAACACUGCGGGGAAGAGGAACGAGAUCUUGAGCGCCCUCUACUCAGCAUGGAUAUCCAGGUGCUGAGCCAGGAGCAGCAGCCUUUCUAGAGGGGGUUUUUGAGACUAGAAUCACCUCAGCAUCCUCCUGUCCCCAGCUGUGUCCAGCCUGUCUGCAGGGACAUCCUGAGAGGACUAGGCUCUCCCCUCAUCCACCUGCGAGCCAAGGAGGUCCUGCUGCUGGCCCGGUAGACGGACCAAUGGAGGGUCUCGCUGGACACACCGGACUUCACCGACAUCGUGCUGCAGCUGGACGACAUCCAGCAUGCCAUCGCCAUCAACUAUGACCCAAUGGAGGGCCA